This 290-nucleotide long non-coding RNA is filed under the name Lathyrus oleraceus (garden pea). RNAcentral describes it as "Pisum sativum (pea) long non-coding RNA (PSAT_LNC004846)". Lineage: Eukaryota; Viridiplantae; Streptophyta; Magnoliopsida; Fabales; Fabaceae. The record is from RNAcentral.
GAUGUUUAGGGGUUCAUAUGGUUCUGUUUGGGGCUUGUGAUCAUUGGUUGGAGUUUAUUUGGGGUUCUCACAUAUUUUGGAGGCUUUAAGAAGUGUUUGAAGGGGUAUGAAGCCAUUGUGAGCAAGUUUUGAGUGCAAGCUUGUUCUACUUGAGUUUUCAGGGGGUUUAUGGUUGAUUUUGGAUCAUUGGAGUAUGGAUUGUUGGGUGGUCAUUUGAAAGACCCUACUUCUGACUUGGAGUGAUCUUGAUUCAAUUCAUCUCAUGCCUUUGUUUGUUUAUGCUUUGUUGU